RNAcentral lists this ribosomal RNA (507 nucleotides) under uncultured bacterium. Its description in RNAcentral is "bacterial SSU rRNA". It matches the Rfam family "Bacterial small subunit ribosomal RNA", at positions 21 to 507 of the family's 1533-position model. The record is from RNAcentral.
GGCUCAGAGUGAACGCUGGUCGGCAGGCCUAACACAUGCAAGUCGAGCGGCAGCGCGUCCGACCACCCUCGGGUGGUCGGAUGGCGGCGAGCGGCGGACGGGUGAGGAAUGCAUCGGAAUCUGCCUCGUUGUGGGGGAUAACGUAGGGAAACUUACGCUAAUACCGCAUACGACCUACGGGUGAAAGUGGGGGGACCUUCGGGCCUCACGCGAUGAGAUGAGCCGAUGCCGGAUUAGCUAGUUGGCGGGGUAAAGGCCCACCAAGGCGACGAUCCGUAGCUGGUCUGAGAGGAUGAUCAGCCACACUGGAACUGAGACACGGUCCAGACUCCUACGGGAGGCAGCAGUGGGGAAUAUUGGACAAUGGGGGCAACCCUGAUCCAGCCAUGCCGCGUGUGUGAAGAAGGCCUUCGGGUUGUAAAGCACUUUUGUUGGGGAAGAAACCGGCCGGGUUAAUACCCUGGUUGAAUGACGGUACCCAAAGAAUAAGCACCGGCUAACUCCGUG